RNAcentral lists this ribosomal RNA (446 nucleotides) under uncultured bacterium. RNAcentral's name for it is "partial 16S ribosomal RNA". It matches the Rfam family "Bacterial small subunit ribosomal RNA", at positions 338 to 795 of the family's 1533-position model. The record is from RNAcentral.
CCUACGGGUGGCAGCAGUCGAGAAUCAUUCACAAUGGGGGAAACCCUGAUGGUGCGACGCCGCGUUGGGGAAUGAAGGUCUUCGGAUUGUAAACUCCUGUCAUGUGGGAGCAAAUUAAAAAGAUAGUACCACAAGAGGAAGAGACGGCUAACUCUGUGCCAGCAGCCGCGGUAAUACAGAGGUCUCAAGCGUUGUUCGGAAUCACUGGGCGUAAGGCGUGCGGAGGCUGUUUCGUAAGUCGUGUGUGAAAGGCGCGGGCUCAACCCGCGGACGGCACAUGAUACUGCGAGACUAGAGUAAUGGAGGGGGAACCGGAAUUCUCGGUGUAGCAGUGAAAUGCGUAGAUAUCGAGAGGAACACUCGUGGCGAAGGCGGGUUCCUGGACAUUAACUGACGCUGAGGCACGAAGGCCAGGGGAGCGAAAGGGAUUAGAUACCCCAGUAGUC